GGUAAAGCUUUUGCGGUUUGGGAUGGGCCUGCGUCCUAUCAGGUAGUUGGUGAGGUAAAUGCUCACCAAGCCUAUGACGGGUAGCUGGUCUGAGAGGAUGGUCAGCCAGACUGGGACUGCGACACGGCCCAGACUCCUACGGGAGGCAGCAACUAGGAAUUGUGCGCAAUGGACGAAAGUCUGACGCCGCGACAUCGCGUGGAGGAUGAAGGUCUUCGGAUUGUAAACUCCUUUUCUUACCGAACAAGUUCUGAGUGUAGGUAAGGAAUAAGUGCCUGCUAACCACGUGCCAGAAGCAUCGGUAAUACAUGGGGCACGAGCGUUAUCCGGAUUUACUGGGCGUAAAGAGAAGCGUAGGCGGCUCGAUAAGUUUGGUGUUAAAUCUUCCGGCUCAACCGGAAACAAGCACCGAAAACUAUCGAGAUUGAGUCGAGUAGGGAAGAGGGGAAUUCCUGGUGGAGCGGUUAAAUGCGUAGAUAUCAGGAGGAAUACCAAGGGCGAAGGCACCUCUUUGGACUCGUACUGACGCUGAGGCUCGAAAGCGUGGGUAGCAAAACGGAUUAGAUACCCGUGUAGUCCACGCCGUAAACGAUCCCUGUUAGAUGUAUGUUUUGUC
Molecule: ribosomal RNA, 616 nt
Filed under: uncultured organism
Description: bacterial SSU rRNA
Rfam family: Bacterial small subunit ribosomal RNA
Source: RNAcentral